Molecule: ribosomal RNA, 466 nt
Filed under: uncultured bacterium
Lineage: Bacteria
Description: partial 16S ribosomal RNA
Rfam family: Bacterial small subunit ribosomal RNA
Source: RNAcentral
GAUGAACGCUGGCGGCGUGCUUAACACAUGCAAGUCGAACGAUGAAGCCCAGCUUGCUGGGUGGAUUAGUGGCGAACGGGUGAGUAACACGUGAGUAACCUGCCCUUAACUCUGGGAUAAGCCUGGGAAACUGGGUCUAAUACCGGAUAGGAGCGUCCACCGCAUGGUGGGUGUUGGAAAGAUUUAUCGGUUUUGGAUGGACUCGCGGCCUAUCAGCUUGUUGGUGAGGUAAUGGCUCACCAAGGCGACGACGGGUAGCCGGCCUGAGAGGGUGACCGGCCACACUGGGACUGAGACACGGCCCAGACUCCUACGGGAGGCAGCAGUGGGGAAUAUUGCACAAUGGGCGCAAGCCUGAUGCAGCGACGCCGCGUGCGGGAUGACGGCCUUCGGGUUGUAAACCGCUUUCGCCUGUGACGAAGCGUGAGUGACGGUAAUGGGUAAAGAAGCACCGGCUAACUACGUG